AGAGAAAUAGAAGAGGAGAAGAGAAGAAAGAGAGGAAAGACAAAGAGGAGAAAGAGAGAGGGGAAGGACGACAUACCUUAGAGAGAGCUGUUGUGUGUGAGAGAGAGAUAGAGGAGCUAUUGCUGGCUGAGGAGCUCACUUCUUUUGGCAUGACAACAUAGGUACUGCUUAGGGUUUUUUAUUUUUUGUUUUGUUAAAAUAUAAUUAAAAAAGAACAAAAGAAAAAAGAGUA
This 232-nucleotide unclassified non-coding RNA is filed under the name Hevea brasiliensis (rubber tree). Lineage: Eukaryota; Viridiplantae; Streptophyta; Magnoliopsida; Malpighiales; Euphorbiaceae. The record is from RNAcentral.